GUCGUCACCAGGGGGAGCCGGCGCCCCGGCUGAGAGGUCUCCGCGGACGGAGACGACCCCUAGAACCUGAUCCGGAUCAUACCGGCGUAGGAACGCGUGGGACAUGCUGGU
Molecule: non-coding RNA, 111 nt
Filed under: Candidatus Defluviicoccus seviourii
Lineage: Bacteria; Pseudomonadati; Pseudomonadota; Alphaproteobacteria; Rhodospirillales; Rhodospirillaceae
Also listed under: 1 other name
Description: TPP riboswitch aptamer (THI element)
Rfam family: TPP riboswitch aptamer (THI element)
About the family: Vitamin B(1) in its active form thiamin pyrophosphate (TPP) is an essential coenzyme that is synthesised by coupling of pyrimidine and thiazole moieties in bacteria. The previously detected thiamin-regulatory element, thi box was extended, resulting in a new, highly conserved RNA secondary structure, the THI element, which is widely distributed in eubacteria and also occurs in some archaea. Analysis of operon structures identified a large number of new candidate thiamin-regulated genes, mostly transporters, in various prokaryotic organisms.
Source: Rfam by way of RNAcentral